UGUGGAGUGUGCUUUCAGUUUCAGUA
This 26-nucleotide non-coding RNA is filed under the name Homo sapiens (human). The record is from RNAcentral. Lineage: Eukaryota; Metazoa; Chordata; Mammalia; Primates; Hominidae.